CUACUGGGUGGCUUGUAGCAACAAACAGCUUUUUCUUGAUGUGAAUCAGCUUCCUUUUUGUUUUGCACAGAAACCAUAGCUCAGGCAGAGAGAAGAGGAUGCAGUCGGUCAAUGCAAUGCUGAGGUCGUAAAGACAAUCCUUCAUUCCUGUCGACGGCGUGAGGCUUUUAGUUUCCAGAAGCUCUCUCGAAUUUGUAGAAAAUAAGAAUGGAGGGGGAUGUCAUGAGGUGGAGGGUGUUCCUCCUCUGCUUCUUCCAAUUCAUCCAUGAAUUUGUUCUUCAAAAACUGAAGAAUAUCUGCUGACAUUUUGGCUGUAAAAA
This is a long non-coding RNA of Vitis riparia (riverbank grape), 320 nucleotides long. RefSeq lists it as uncharacterized. The transcript is spliced from 2 exons. The record is from RefSeq and is a predicted model, not a curated record. NCBI's taxonomy places the organism in Eukaryota, Viridiplantae, Streptophyta, Magnoliopsida, Vitales, Vitaceae.